RNAcentral lists this ribosomal RNA (254 nucleotides) under uncultured bacterium. Its description in RNAcentral is "partial 16S ribosomal RNA". It matches the Rfam family "Bacterial small subunit ribosomal RNA", at positions 524 to 776 of the family's 1533-position model. The record is from RNAcentral.
UACGGGGGAUGCAAGCGUUAUCCGGAUUUAUUGGGUUUAAAGGGUGCGUAGGCUGUGAGGUAAGUCAGCGGUGAAAUGCCCCCGCUCAACGGGGUGAAGUGCCAUUGAUACUGCCUUGCUGGAAUGCGGAUGCCGUGGGAGGAAUGUGUGGUGUAGCGGUGAAAUGCAUAGAUAUCACACAGAACACCGAUUGCGAAGGCAUCUCACGAAUCCGCGAUUGACGCUGAUGCACGAAAGCGUGGGUAUUAAACAGG